RNAcentral lists this ribosomal RNA (539 nucleotides) under uncultured Corynebacterium sp. RNAcentral describes it as "bacterial SSU rRNA". It matches the Rfam family "Bacterial small subunit ribosomal RNA", at positions 355 to 897 of the family's 1533-position model. Lineage: Bacteria; Bacillati; Actinomycetota; Actinomycetes; Mycobacteriales; Corynebacteriaceae. The record is from RNAcentral.
UGGGGAAUAUUGCACAAUGGGCGCAAGCCUGAUGCAGCGACGCCGCGUGGGGGAUGACGGCCUUCGGGUUGUAAACUCCUUUCAGCCAUGACGAAGCCUCUUUUGGGGUGACGGUAGUGGUAGAAGAAGCACCGGCUAACUACGUGCCAGCAGCCGCGGUAAUACGUAGGGUGCGAGCGUUGUCCGGAAUUACUGGGCGUAAAGAGCUCGUAGGUGGUCUGUCGCGUCAUUUGUGAAAGCCCGGUGCUUAACUCCGGGUUGGCAGGUGAUACGGGCAUGACUGGAGUACUGUAGGGGAGACUGGAAUUCCUGGUGUAGCGGUGAAAUGCGCAGAUAUCAGGAGGAACACCGGUGGCGAAGGCGGGUCUCUGGGCAGUAACUGACGCUGAGGAGCGAAAGCAUGGGUAGCGAACAGGAUUAGAUACCCUGGUAGUCCAUGCCGUAAACGGUGGGCGCUAGGUGUGGGUUUCCUUCCACGGGAUCCGUGCCGUAGCUAACGCAUUAAGCGCCCCGCCUGGGGAGUACGGCCGCAAGGCUAA